This 278-nucleotide ribosomal RNA is filed under the name uncultured Rikenellaceae bacterium. RNAcentral describes it as "partial 16S ribosomal RNA". It matches the Rfam family "Bacterial small subunit ribosomal RNA", at positions 511 to 788 of the family's 1533-position model. The record is from RNAcentral. Lineage: Bacteria; Pseudomonadati; Bacteroidota; Bacteroidia; Bacteroidales; Rikenellaceae.
GCAGCCGCGGUAAUACGGGGGAUGCAAGCGUUAUCCGGAUUUAUUGGGUUUAAAGGGUGCGUAGGCGGCUUGGUAAGUCAGCGGUGAAAUUUAGGGGCUCAACCUCUACCGUGCCGUUGAUACUGCUGGGCUAGAAUGCGGAUGCCGUGGGAGGAAUGUGUGGUGUAGCGGUGAAAUGCAUAGAUAUCACACAGAACACCGAUUGCGAAGGCAUCUCACGAAUCCGCUAUUGACGCUGAGGCACGAAAGCGUGGGGAUCAAACAGGAUUAGAUACCCC